This 96-nucleotide ribosomal RNA is filed under the name Tricholoma bakamatsutake. Its description in RNAcentral is "partial 25S ribosomal RNA". It matches the Rfam family "Eukaryotic large subunit ribosomal RNA", at positions 3305 to 3401 of the family's 3401-position model. The record is from RNAcentral. Lineage: Eukaryota; Fungi; Basidiomycota; Agaricomycetes; Agaricales; Tricholomataceae.
UUGCAGACGACUUGAAUGGGAACGAGGUACUGUAAGCGGUAGAGUAGCCUUGUUGCUACGAUCCGCUGAGGUUAAGCCUGUGUUCUAAAGAUUUGU